CACGCCACAUAUGGUUUGUACGUGCUCCAACUGGACACGCAUGUGCAAACCAUAUGCGGUGUG
RNAcentral lists this microRNA precursor (63 nucleotides) under Trypanosoma congolense IL3000. Lineage: Eukaryota; Euglenozoa; Kinetoplastea; Trypanosomatida; Trypanosomatidae. The record is from RNAcentral.